GUGCAGCAGGCGAGAAAACUUUACAAUGUGCGAAAGCACGAUAAGGGAACUCUGAGUGCCUCCUAAGGAGGCUGUUCUGAUGUCUAAAAAGCAACAGAAGUAAGGGCUGGGUAAGACCGGUGCCAGCCGCCGCGGUAACACCGGCAGCCCAAGUGGUAGCCACGUUUAUUGGGUCUAAAGCGUUCGUAGCCGGCCAGGUAAGUUCCUUGGUAAAUUUAGCCGCUUAACGGUUAAGCUUUCAGGGAAUACUGCUUGGCUUGGGACUGGGGAGAGGUCAGAGGUACUCCGGGGGUAGGGGUGAAAUCUAUUAAUCCCUGGGGGACCACCGGUAGCGAAGGCGUCUGGCCAGACCAGGUCCGACGGUGAGGGACGAAGGCUAGGGGCGCGAACCGGAUUAGAUACCCCUGUAGU
Molecule: ribosomal RNA, 411 nt
Filed under: uncultured microorganism
Description: bacterial SSU rRNA
Rfam family: Archaeal small subunit ribosomal RNA
Source: RNAcentral